GGGGUGGUAGCGAAGCUGGUUAUCGCGCUGGCCUGUCACGCCGGAGAUCGCGGGUUCAAGUCCCGUCCACCUCG
Molecule: transfer RNA, 74 nt
Filed under: Deltaproteobacteria bacterium
Lineage: Bacteria; Pseudomonadati; Myxococcota; Myxococcia
Also listed under: 3 other names
Description: tRNA-Asp
Rfam family: tRNA
About the family: Transfer RNA (tRNA) molecules are approximately 80 nucleotides in length. Their secondary structure includes four short double-helical elements and three loops (D, anti-codon, and T loops).
Source: RNAcentral